RNAcentral lists this ribosomal RNA (376 nucleotides) under uncultured bacterium. RNAcentral's name for it is "bacterial SSU rRNA". It matches the Rfam family "Bacterial small subunit ribosomal RNA", at positions 521 to 896 of the family's 1533-position model. The record is from RNAcentral.
UAAUACGAAGGGGGCAAGCGUUGUUCGGAAUUACUGGGCGUAAAGGGCGCGCAGGCGGUUCUUCAAGUCAGAUGUGAAAGCCCCGGGCUCAACCUGGGAAUAGCAUUUGGGACUGGGGAACUAGAGUUCGGGAGAGGUGGGUGGAAUUCCCAGUGUAGAGGUGAAAUUCGUAGAUAUUGGGAAGAACACCGGUGGCGAAGGCGGCUCACUGGACCGAUACUGACGCUGAGGCGCGAAAGCGUGGGGAGCAAACAGGAUUAGAUACCCUGGUAGUCCACGCCGUAAACGAUGUGUGCUAGACGUUGGGAGGCCUAGCCUUCCGGUGUCGCAGCUAACGCGAUAAGCACACCGCCUGGGGAGUACGGCCGCAAGGUUA